RNAcentral lists this transfer RNA (94 nucleotides) under Thermoproteus tenax Kra 1. It matches the Rfam family "tRNA". From Rfam's summary of the family: Transfer RNA (tRNA) molecules are approximately 80 nucleotides in length. Lineage: Archaea; Thermoproteati; Thermoproteota; Thermoprotei; Thermoproteales; Thermoproteaceae. The record is from Rfam by way of RNAcentral.
GGGCCCGUAGCUCAGCAUGGAUAGAGCGGCGGCCUUCUACGGCGUUGCCGCCGGAGCGAGCCGUAGGUCGUGGGUUCGAAUCCCACCGGGCCCG